CAUGGGUUCCCACAUGCAUAAAAACAGUGCUGUCAGAAUUUCACUCGGAGUAGAAGCCUGAGCAUGUCACUCAAAUCACAGGGGAACUGUACUGGCUGCUUGUCAAAGGAGAGAUCAGAAAACCUUGCCACCAUCGACUGAAAAUUCAGAAUUGGACAAGAAGGAGUAGACUUUUGUUCACCUACGAAUUGAUUAAUAAAAGGACCUAAAUGCUGAAUUUGACAGAGAAAAAGCACAUCCUGUCUGAGUCAGCUGACCAGGGACACGAGGGCAUCGUGCUUCCCAGAGUUCCAAGGCUGCCAGGCGGAACGACAAAGGUUAAAAGCCAGGCAAAGGAUAAUGAUCCUGCUUUCAUCACACAUUUCGGGAUAAUGGUUUCAAUGGAAGGAUCAGAGAUGGGUUUCCAGCAAAGUUAACCAGACUUAACUUCAAAGUUCUUGACUUCUCAGAGACUCCAAGAAGAGCCCUAAGCCCGGGGUCCUGUGUUUUAGACCUUGGAAAAUGGAGGUAUUUUAACUGCCGUAGAUGAAACUGUUUCUUUCUCUGUCUGACUUGCCUUCCAUUUCCCCUUGCGUAGGAAGUUCUAGAAUA
Molecule: non-coding RNA, 591 nt
Organism: Peromyscus maniculatus bairdii (prairie deer mouse)
Lineage: Eukaryota; Metazoa; Chordata; Mammalia; Rodentia; Cricetidae
Source: RefSeq, a predicted model, not a curated record